RNAcentral lists this long non-coding RNA (1099 nucleotides) under Oryctolagus cuniculus (rabbit). RNAcentral's name for it is "lncRNA (ENSOCUG00000031903.1)". Lineage: Eukaryota; Metazoa; Chordata; Mammalia; Lagomorpha; Leporidae. The record is from RNAcentral.
AUGCAUAAACACAUGAUUCAUAUAUCUUAUAUUCAGGCAUUUCCAGUUUUCAGAUUCAUGGAAAGUAAAAAGUGUUUUUCUUUUUUUUUUUUUUCAGAUCAAGAAGCUAGCGUCUUUUGCGAAGAGCACAUUUCCAAACAGGGUAUUACUCACAGCAUCACUCUAAUAAUCAGGUCUCCGUUUCCAGAACACAGAGUCUGCACAGGAGUAGCCUGCAGGGACUCAGACCCAACCGCUUUCCUAGUACUCCACAUUGAAGAGCAGUCUCAUUUCACUGUUCUCACAGGUGCUACAGAAGGAAAACUUGUGGAGGGCAGCAAGCUGCCCUACUGAGACCCAGAGAGAAUUGACACCUGCCAGUCUCCAUGUGAAGUGGAUGCAGCAGGCUUUCCAGUGGUAAGUGAGCAGAUUCCUCUGAUACAUACAGAAUAUUUAUGUUCUGAUUCCUCUGAGAUUAUAAAACUUUACAUUUAAUGCUGAGAACAUUUUGAUGAAUUUCAAGUGAUCAGUGGGUUGACUAAUUGUUUUUUUUUAUUCAUAGUAGUAUUACAACUACUUGUACCCAACAGGUUUUUUACUGUGUCAUUUUCUGGGUAUGACGCCUUAGAAGAACAAUUCCUUUUCCUAACAGCUGAGAAGCCAAAAGUGAACCAAGUUGCAGGGAAGGACAGCACUAAGAUGCCAACACCAGAGUUGCAGUCCACUGGCCACCACUUGAGGAAUACUCAGUCCACGAAGGAGUUUUGGAGAGAGGCUCAGAACAAAAGGCCCUUUCUUCUCUACCUCUUCUCCCAAACACCUUCCAUCCAUAGACAGACAACUACACGGCGCACUCACACUGUGUAACCCACCAGUGUACUGCAGAACCCGCGGUACAUCUAAAGUAUAUCCUGACUACGACAAAAGCACUGCCUACGUGUUAACCCAAGGCAGUGUCAGUGGAACCACAUUUCAAUCGUUUUGUUCUUUAAUGAGUAGGAGAAUUUUAACAAGGUUGAGACACUACUUGAUACUAGCCAGGAUGUGAUCUCUUAUCAGAGCCUCAGUCUGAUUUCAGUAAGCAAGACAAUAAAAGGCUGAGAAAUAGCCUGUCCUCUCA